RNAcentral lists this ribosomal RNA (1411 nucleotides) under Brevibacterium casei. RNAcentral describes it as "bacterial SSU rRNA". It matches the Rfam family "Bacterial small subunit ribosomal RNA". Lineage: Bacteria; Bacillati; Actinomycetota; Actinomycetes; Micrococcales; Brevibacteriaceae. The record is from RNAcentral.
UGCUUACACAUGCAGUCGAACGCUGAAGCCUGGUGCUUGCACCGGGUGGAUGAGUUGGCGAACGGGUGAGUAACACGUGAGUAACCUGCCCCUGACUUCGGGAUAAGCCCGGGAAACUGGGUCUAAUACCGGAUACGACUGCCGGACGCAUGUCUGGUGGUGGAAAGUUUUUUCGGUUGGGGAUGGGCUCGCGGCCUAUCAGUUUGUUGGUGAGGUAAUGGCUCACCAAGACGACGACGGGUAGCCGGCCUGAGAGGGCGACCGGCCACACUGGGACUGAGACACGGCCCAGACUCCUACGGGAGGCAGCAGUGGGGAAUAUUGCACAAUGGGGGAAACCCUGAUGCAGCGACGCAGCGUGCGGGAUGACGGCCUUCGGGUUGUAAACCGCUUUCAGCAGGGAAGAAGCGCAAGUGACGGUACCUGCAGAAGAAGUACCGGCUAACUACGUGCCAGCAGCCGCGGUAAUACGUAGGGUACGAGCGUUGUCCGGAAUUAUUGGGCGUAAAGAGCUCGUAGGUGGUUGGUCACGUCUGCUGUGGAAACGCAACGCUUAACGUUGCGCGUGCAGUGGGUACGGGCUGACUAGAGUGCAGUAGGGGAGUCUGGAAUUCCUGGUGUAGCGGUGAAAUGCGCAGAUAUCAGGAGGAACACCGGUGGCGAAGGCGGGACUCUGGGCUGUAACUGACACUGAGGAGCGAAAGCAUGGGGAGCGAACAGGAUUAGAUACCCUGGUAGUCCAUGCCGUAAACGUUGGGCACUAGGUGUGGGGGGCAUUCCACGUUCUCCGCGCCGUAGCUAACGCAUUAAGUGCCCCGCCUGGGGAGUACGGUCGCAAGGCUAAAACUCAAAGGAAUUGACGGGGGCCCGCACAAGCGGCGGAGCAUGCGGAUUAAUUCGAUGCAACGCGAAGAACCUUACCAAGGCUUGACAUACACCGGACCGUCCUGGAAACAGGUCCUCUUCUUUGAAGCUGGUGUACAGGUGGUGCAUGGUUGUCGUCAGCUCGUGUCGUGAGAUGUUGGGUUAAGUCCCGCAACGAGCGCAACCCUCGUUCUAUGUUGCCAGCAUGUGAUGGUGGGAACUCAUAGGAGACUGCCGGGGUCAACUCGGAGGAAGGUGGGGAUGACGUCAAAUCAUCAUGCCCUUUAUGUCUUGGGCUUCACGCAUGCUACAAUGGCUGGUACAGAGAGAGGCGAACCCGUGAGGGCAAGCGAAUCCCUUAAAGCCAGUCUCAGUUCGGAUCGUAGUCUGCGAAUUCGACUACGUGAAGUCGGAGUCGCUAGUAAUCGCAGAUCAGCAACGCUGCGGUGAAUACGUUCCCGGGCCUUGUACACACCGCCCGUCAAGUCACGAAAAGUCGGUAACACCCGAAAGCCGGUGGCCUAACCGUAAGGAGGGGGCCGUCUAA